RNAcentral lists this ribosomal RNA (253 nucleotides) under uncultured bacterium. RNAcentral's name for it is "partial 16S ribosomal RNA". It matches the Rfam family "Bacterial small subunit ribosomal RNA", at positions 524 to 776 of the family's 1533-position model. The record is from RNAcentral.
UACGUAGGUGGCAAGCGUUGUCCGGAAUUAUUGGGCGUAAAGAGCGUGUAGGCGGCCCGAUAAGUCCGCUGUGAAAGUCCAGGGCUCAACCCUGGAAUGCCGGUGGAUACUGUCGGGCUCGAAUCCGGAAGAGGUGAGUGGAAUUCCUGGUGUAGCGGUGAAAUGCGCAGAUAUCAGGAGGAACACCAAUGGCGAAGGCAGCUCACUGGGACGGUAUUGACGCUGAGACGCGAAAGCGUGGGGAGCAAACAGG